Small nuclear RNA from Mirounga angustirostris (Northern elephant seal), 135 nucleotides. RefSeq annotates it as U4 spliceosomal RNA. NCBI's taxonomy places the organism in Eukaryota, Metazoa, Chordata, Mammalia, Carnivora, Phocidae. The transcript has a single exon. The record is from RefSeq and is a predicted model, not a curated record.
AGCUUCGCGCAGCGGCAGUAUCGUAGCCAAUGAGGUUUAUCCGAGGCGUGAUUAUUGCUAAUUGAAAAGAGCUUUUUAUAUAUAUGUAGGAGAGUCACAAGUUUCCUUAGUGCUAUCAGGAAAGAAGGAAAUUUA